This 648-nucleotide ribosomal RNA is filed under the name Triticum aestivum (bread wheat). RNAcentral describes it as "partial small subunit ribosomal RNA". The record is from RNAcentral. Lineage: Eukaryota; Viridiplantae; Streptophyta; Magnoliopsida; Poales; Poaceae.
AUGUCUAACUACAUGGCGUACCUGCUGUAUGUGAAUCCUGAGAUGUUAAUGGCAGGCAGCAGAAGGAGGCUUUUCACAGAUGCUUAUGAAGAACUGGAGGAACUGAAGGGCAUCAUCAUCCAGGGAGACGAGCAACCUCCCAAGGAAAGAGAGCUUACACAGAGGAUAAUUGCUGAGGUGGGUGGUGGAGGUGCAGGUACCCAACACCCCCAGGGAGGAAUUAUCCGCGACGCUUGGAGAAUUUCCAAAGUGUUAUCGGAUCUCCCUGAAGACAAGAUGUGGACUGUGAUUGAAGGCGUGUGGGUGGAGAUGUUGUGCUUCUCUGCCGCUAGAUGCAGAGGGUACCUGCACGCCAAGGGUCUGGGCACAGGCGUGGAGUACCUCACCUAUGUCUGGCUCCUAUUGUACUACAUGGGGAUGGAGACUUUGGCAGACAAACUGCAGAGGGUGGAUCAUCAUCGCCAUCACCAUCGCAACGGAGGAGGGCAUGGGGAUGGCCCAUCAACUUCUGGUGUCAGCAGGGCCGCCACUGCCCAAGAGGAAGCUGCUGGUCCUUCAAGAUCAAGUGGUGGUGCCGCCGAGGAACAAGCCACCGGUCAAUCCGCCGGUUACCAUGACAGUGAUGGCAUAGUAGAAGAAAUCGUCUGA